AAAAGAUAUUACUUACUUAAAAUGAUUAAAACGUUUAAAAUAAAUACAUUUCUUGGAAAUUUCUCGUCAGUCAUUUAGCUUACAACGAAAGCGUAAAGACGGAUUUUCGCGAAUUUUUUCAUCUCGCUUGAACGAGAAUUUAAGAUAUUUUUAAUUCAGCACCUCGCUGAUUUGUCGGUCACAAAGGGGUUGGAAAAAAUAAUCAAUUAGAGUAGUUUCAAUGUUGAUCGAGUUAAAUUUAAUAAUUACUAUAGCAAUUAGCACGGUUAUUCAAUAAACAUUAAUGUUAUGGUUACACAGAUAUUUAUUAUUUUCCGAGAAAUGAAAAAUAAAAAUAUUUGAAAUUAACUCGAAACAUAUUGAAACUUCUCCCUUUGGAAUUCGUUCGGUCCCUUUGUAGUACGUCGAGGGGUUGAGUCGUAGUAAUUAAAUUUGAAACAAAUACGUAUCUUCUCGUGCAAUAGACCAAUUAGCAGUGUAUACAAUUAAAUAUAUCAUAAUUUCUCGUUUAAAUGCUUCCGUGCUAUUAACACGUUUGAAAGUCAUUUAGUCGAUACGUUCUCGUUAGAAAUUUGUUUUUCGAACGCCAUGUCAGAAUGCAAAUCUAUUUCGUAAAUCGCCCACACUUGUUUUCAUUGUAUAUCGUUUAAUUAUAAUACAUGUAUACUAUCACAUUACCGUAUUAUCUUAGUAAACAAAUCGAAAUCGUGAAAAAAAAAAAAAACCAACUUAUUAAUAUUUUUGUUUUUGUUUUCAGACAAGACUACGGCAAUCGGAGAGGUUCACGGGUAAUUUUAUUUUACGAUAGUAUAUUUAUACGAGUAGAUAUAGGUACCUGUAUAAAAUAACAUAACAAAAUAAAAAAAAAAAAAAAAAAAAAAAAAAAAAAACAGAAUAUUAAAAAUAACGAUCGAAAAAAGAAGUGCC
Molecule: non-coding RNA, 927 nt
Organism: Cinara cedri
Lineage: Eukaryota; Metazoa; Arthropoda; Insecta; Hemiptera; Aphididae
Source: the annotation of a GenBank genome assembly